Molecule: unclassified non-coding RNA, 1206 nt
Filed under: Hevea brasiliensis (rubber tree)
Lineage: Eukaryota; Viridiplantae; Streptophyta; Magnoliopsida; Malpighiales; Euphorbiaceae
Source: RNAcentral
ACAAAUGGGAUGGGAAGAAGGAGAAGGCCUAGGCAAGAACAAGCAAGGAAUCAAAGGAUAUGUCAGAGUUCAGAACAAACAAGACACUGCAGGUAUAGGUACAGAAAAGCCUAAUGAAUGGGCUUUUGACACUGCUCAGUUUGAUAGCAUACUUAAAAGAUUGAAAGUGCAAACAGCUGAAACCAACAAUGAUGAAGAGAAAAAAGAAGUGCAAAAUGACAAGGCAACAGGAACUUCUAGUGGCGAACAAGAGACUGUUGCUAAGGUUACCAGGCCUCAAGGAAGAUAUAAGAAAAGGGAGAGAGGGAAGCUUGUCCAUGGAUAUUCAGCUCAGGAUCUUGAAGGAAUUCUUGUCAAAAAGACAAAGACUUCUCAGACAAACGAUGAUCAAAAGGUACCAGAUACAGCAGAGACUAUUAUUGUUGCCGAUGAUGCAUGGAAUGAAGAUCAAGGGGUUCCCCCAGAAUGGUGGGGCUAUAAAAAUGGAUUUGUCUCAGGAGGAUUUCUUGGAAGUCAAGCUCGGAGAAAAACGUCAUCCUCAUCAGAUAAGAUGCGAGACUUCAGUGAGAGGACCACAUUUCAUGAGGAUGAUCAAGAAAAUCUUUAUAAUCUUGUUCAAAACACAGCCACAACUGGAAAACAAGGGCUGGGUAUCAAGGACCGGCCUAAGAAGGUUGCUGGUUGCUACUUUGAGGGGAAAAAGACAUCUUUUGAUGAUAGCGAUGAUGAAGAUUCUUCUGAGUCAAACCCUCCCAUGAAAGAACAUGAAGAAACCAGUGACCCAAUCAAAAAUGAUGAACCAAAAUUGAAGCUGAAGAAAUUGUGUAAACGACUGUUGAAACAGGCACCAGGGAACUCGUUAAAACUGAAGCAGCUUAAAGUGCUAAUUGAUGAACAAUCAUCAGAUUUUUUCUGCAAUUUCACUAAAAAAGAGUCACUUGCGUUUUUGAAGUGCAAGCUUGAAGGCAGUGACAAGUUCUCAGUGGAGGGAAAGAGGGUGUCUCUUUCGUAAAGAGAACUGAAAGAAUUUUGCCGUAGCUGAGUUUAGCUGUAACGUAAUGUAGAUGGCCACCGAGACUAGGUUCACAGUAAAUCAAGUUUAUUUUGUUUUGCUGAGAGAUAUAGCAAGGAGCACAACAUUGCGUUUAGGGGAGUACAGCAUUUAGGCAGUCAUUUCUUCACCCAGUGAUCUGCCCUUCUUCUUUU